UACGGAGGAUCCGAGCGUUAUCCGGAUUUAUUGGGUUUAAAGGGUGCGCAGGCGGGGGAUUAAGUCGGCGGUGAAAUUUUGCAGCUCAACUGUAAAAGUGCCUUCGAAACUGGUUUCCUUGAGUGUAGAUGAAGUAGGCGGAAUUUGUGGUGUAGCGGUGAAAUGCUUAGAUAUCACGAGGAACUCCGAUUGCGCAGGCAGCUUACUAAACUACUACUGACGCUCAGGCACGAAGGCGUGGGGAUCAAACAGGAUUAGAUACCCGGGUAGUCCCUGA
This 277-nucleotide ribosomal RNA is filed under the name uncultured prokaryote. RNAcentral's name for it is "partial 16S ribosomal RNA". It matches the Rfam family "Bacterial small subunit ribosomal RNA", at positions 524 to 800 of the family's 1533-position model. The record is from RNAcentral.